Molecule: RNA transcript, 1885 nt
Organism: Gastrolobium bilobum
Lineage: Eukaryota; Viridiplantae; Streptophyta; Magnoliopsida; Fabales; Fabaceae
Gene name: transcription factor PIL1-like
Exons: 7
Source: RefSeq, a predicted model, not a curated record
AUUUUGCUUACGUAAAAGUAACCAGUUCGAUCCUCUCUCCAUUCAAAUACUACUCGUAUUAGAUUUAAUAAUCUGAUACAUAUGAUUUCUGCUUCGCUAUUUCGUGCGUGCUAACCGGCAAAUCGUAAGCAGGGUUUAGUGUCUGUUCUAGUACUAACAGUUAUUAGCUUCAACCGUGUUACUUUGCCUCACUAGUAAAACUAGUUACUAUAUAUAGGCCAAGCUAGUGUCGCACACGGUUUGGUUUCUGUGAGCACACGAGUUUCUUUUGGAAGAUCAUAUAAUCAAUCAAUGGCUGAGAAGAUACUUGACUCCACCCGAACAGGGAUGAUAAAAAGCUCCUCCCAUCUAAUUACUUCCAUUUAUGGCAACGAUUCCCUUGAGCUGGUAUGUGAAAAUGGUCAAAUUCAUAUGCAAGGAGGUUCAUCAUCAAGUGUUACAAGAAAGUUUCCCUCGUGCUAUAGAUAUUCAAAAAGCCAUUCCCGUGGCGAAGAAGCAGAUAACGAAGAUGCCUGCAUUGCAAAAAAUGCAACGUUAAGCACAUAUUCGCUUUUGGACUUCCCAGUUCAAAGAGACUCUGACUUAUACAAAAGUUGCUGCAAGCUUAAAGUUGGAUCUGCAAACUUAAAAGAAUCUAAAGGAUCACAUGGUCUCACAGGAAUUCAAGGGCAAAAACCUUUUAUUCCAAGAAGUCAGGAACCACCUCCUGAUGAGCAUUCUGAAGCUGUUGGUCAUGACAGUGCCCUUAGUAUUCACGAAUUCCAUGGUCAAUAUUAUAAUCAAACCUCAAGCUCUGCAGGAGUUGGAUCAAAGAGAAAAGCUCAUACUAACUACUGUGAUGAACCCUUGCUAGAAUCUUCUUCCUUAUACUCGCUUGGAGCAUCAAGUAACACAAAUAUCAGUAGCAGGAAACAUGAUCAUGACACCGAUGACUCAAUAUAUUUAAGUGAUGACUACAAUGAUGAAGAACCAGAAGAUGUAGGUAAGGAAAAGCAUGCUCGGAAAGGCACCAGAGUCAAGAGAAGCAGGAAUGCAGAGAAUCAUAAUUUACAUGAAAGGAAGCGAAGAGAUAAGAUCAACAAGAAGAUGUGCAUAUUGAAAGAGCUCAUACCCAAUUGCAAUAAGAUGGACAAAGCUUCAAUACUUGACGAUGCCAUCGAAUAUAUUAAGACCCUAAAGCUUCAGUUAAAGGAUUGAGACAUUUGGACCGACCGUGAGUGAUCAACCGCUUGAACAAGCUAUGGAGCAUGAGUAGCUCAUUGGAAUUGGUGUUGGUUUUGGAGUAGAGUAUUGUUGACAUUGGUGAAGAACAAAGGUCGACUGAAGCAUUGAGGUAAGCCUUCGGACCUUGGGUGUAAUUCCCUUGACUGUUCUACCAAGCCCUGAAAGGGUGGAGGUUGUGAUUGUGUAUAUAAAUGCAAUAAAAUAGUGUAAUACUUUGUUAUACGUAUGUGUAUGCAUUUGGUGUGGCAUAGGAUGGUGUUUCCCUAUGUGGGUAUGUUGCAUGACGAUGCGUAAAUCAUACAUGGUAGUUAGCUGGCCAGUAGGACUAUUUGCAUCUGAGUUUCCUUAGGACAGCUUGAGAGCUCGAGGGAUUUCUCCUGGAGAUGUAUUGCACUUUGCAUAGAUAUGUAUUUACUGCAUUAUUAUUGUUAUUGCUAUUACACUGAUAUGGAACUGUGGGGUGGAGAGAUGCUCCAAGGACCCCUGGUUUACUGGAUAUAUUCGUAUAUCUCACCCCGUGUUGUGGGGACCCCCUUUCAGGUAAGGAUGCUGCAGGAGCCUCUGGUGGCAAGUGGCCAUAUCUGGAUUAUGCAUGAAAUAUGGCACUUCUUUGAGUUUAUGCAUGCCUUUUGUAGUUGACAUGUAUAGGAUUUUAUUUUGA